CCGUGCCAGCAGCCGCGGUAAUACGGAGGGUGCGAGCGUUAAUCGGAAUUACUGGGCGUAAAGCGCAUGCAGGUGGUUUGUUAAGUCAGAUGUGAAAGCCCGGGGCUCAACCUCGGAAUUGCAUUUGAAACUGGCAGACUAGAGUACUGUAGAGGGGGGUAGAAUUUCAGGUGUAGCGGUGAAAUGCGUAGAGAUCUGAAGGAAUACCGGUGGCGAAGGCGGCCCCCUGGACAGAUACUGACACUCAGAUGCGAAAGCGUGGGGAGCAAACAGGAUUAGAUACCCUGGUAGUCCACGCCGUAAACGAUGUCUACUUGGAGGUUGUGGCCUUGAGCCGUGGCUUUCGGAGCUAACGCGUUAAGUAGACCGCCUGGGGAGUACGGUCGCAAGAUUAAAACUCAAAUGAAUUGACGGGGGCCCGCACAAGCGGUGGAGCAUGUGGUUUAAUUCGAUGCAACGCGAAGAACCUUACCUACUCUUGACAUCCAGAGAACUUUCCAGAGAUGGAUUGGUGCCUUCGGGAACUCUGAGACAGGUGCUGCAUGGCUGUCGUCAGCUCGUGUUGUGAAAUGUUGGGUUAAGUCCCGCAACGAGCGCAACCCUUAUCCUUGUUUGCCAGCGAGUAAUGUCGGGAACUCCAGGGAGACUGCCGGUGAUAAACCGGAGGAAGGUGGGGACGACGUCAAGUCAUCAUGGCCCUUACGAGUAGGGCUACACACGUGCUACAAUGGCGCAUACAGAGGGCGGCCAACUUGCGAAAGUGAGCGAAUCCCAAAAAGUGCGUCGUAGUCCGGAUUGGAGUCUGCAACUCGACUCCAUGAAGUCGGAAUCGCUAGUAAUCGUGGAUCAGAAUGCCACGGUGAAUACGUUCCCGGGCCUUGUACACACCGCCCGUCACACCAUGGGAGUGGGCUGCAAAAGAAGUAGGUAGUUUAACCUUCGGGGGGACGCUUACCACUUUGUGGUUCAUGACUGGGGUGAAGUCGUAACAAGGUAGCGCUAGGGGAACC
This 1010-nucleotide ribosomal RNA is filed under the name Vibrio parahaemolyticus. RNAcentral's name for it is "bacterial SSU rRNA". It matches the Rfam family "Bacterial small subunit ribosomal RNA", at positions 503 to 1512 of the family's 1533-position model. Lineage: Bacteria; Pseudomonadati; Pseudomonadota; Gammaproteobacteria; Vibrionales; Vibrionaceae. The record is from RNAcentral.